Molecule: long non-coding RNA, 248 nt
Organism: Priapulus caudatus
Lineage: Eukaryota; Metazoa; Priapulida; Priapulimorpha; Priapulimorphida; Priapulidae
Exons: 3
Source: RefSeq, a predicted model, not a curated record
UGCAUUAGUCGAGCUCUUGCAAAUAAAAUGACACGGUAUAUAAGCGACAUGCGCAUGGUGAUACUCUGUAAGAGGCUUAUUGCAAUGGAUGAUGUCACUAUAGGAUAUAUCAUAGAAAAUAGAUGCCAAGUUAACCUCACGAAAAUCAGCCAGUUUCACUCUGUAUCUGAAUCUUUGCAAGCCAUCGAACCAAUAACAUUAAGAGAUCAGCUGACAUUCAGCUUUAGCCUGGCAUGCCCAAGACCCAA